This is an RNA transcript of Drosophila biarmipes, 1380 nucleotides long. RefSeq lists it as uncharacterized. Lineage: Eukaryota; Metazoa; Arthropoda; Insecta; Diptera; Drosophilidae. The transcript has 4 exons. The record is from RefSeq and is a predicted model, not a curated record.
AUCGGAAUAUCGAUUACAAAUUUUUGAUAUUUUGUGAUAUUUUUGUCUUCGGUCACUCUGAAUUCUGAAUUAGCUAGCUGCACGUGGAAAAAUCAAAGCGCAAACAAACGAGAAAAUGAGUGUGAAAUCCAACUAUUUUAUUGAGAAAAACGGGACAGCAAAGUGCAAACUUUGCAACAACGUAAUAAAAAUCAGCAGCAAUACCACCAACCUGGCUUCGCAUCUUAAGAACAAGCAUGCUGAUGUUUUCGCAAAAUGCGGACAAAAGAAGCUCUCAAUGAACUUUGAGAAAGUUAUGACGAUAACAGAGUCUUUAAGGAAUGUUGAGCAUUUUAAUGCCGGUGGCGUUUGUUAUUUUAGAAGAAGGAUUUAAGGCAAAGGAAAUGAACGAGGCAAUUGUCUUUAUGAUUUGGAAAGACAACAUGCCAGUGCGCUGCGUCGAAAAAGAAGGCCUAAAAGGACUUUUGAAAACAUGUGUGCCUCACUUUAACUACUACCCGACUACCCGAAAUGCUCAAUGCCUUAGAGCUCAGUGUGUGCAGCGACUUAUGUAGUCUCCUGCAGCCAUUUAAACAAGCCACUGAGCAGAUAAGCGGUGAACAGUACCUCACCGUAAGCAUGGUGGUUCCACUUAUUUCGCUACUGGAAAACAACAUGAAACAAUUAUAUAUGGAAACAGACGAGGAAAAGCGAGCCAAGGAGGUUCUUUAAGGAAUUCAGAAAAGAGGUUCCAGUCGUUUCAGUUAAAUAAAAUUUUAGUGAAAUCGUCAUUUUUAGACCCUAGGUUCAAAAAAAUGUAUUUGACACCGCUUUCCGUAUCGGAGGCCAUUCUCAACAUAACCAUUGAAACCGAUAUAUUUACCCAAAAAAAAGAUUUCUGAUGACGAACAAUUAAAUAACUUCAAGGACUUUAAGAGCUUCCAUAACAAGUCCAUCGCAAAUGACAGUGACGAAUCAAAGAACAAAGAGCUAAAAAUUUAUUUUAGCUUGCCCAAAGCUGCGUGGGAAAGCAAUCCCCUGGAAAUGUGGAAAUCGCACAAAGCGACUAUGCCGGGCCUGUACAAGCUGGCCAUGAAGUAUUUAAUCACCCCGGGAAGUUCGGUGCCCUCAGAGCGGCUGGCGUCCGCCAUUAAAUGUGUGGUGUGUGACUCAAGGAGCAGGAUGACGGACGCACACAUUACCCAAAGGGUAUUCCUAAAAUCACUAAAAACGGCAAACUGGUCUUAAGAACUAUUUAAUAAUACUGUUAUUUUUAAAAAGAAACUUAUUGUCUUUUUAUUGGGGGCGGGAAAUUUUUUUAUUUAACACAAAAAAAUCGGAAGUAUCGAUAUUAUCGAUGUUUUUUAAUAUGAUAUUUAAAAUAAUAUCAUUUUUUUUUGA